Molecule: small RNA, 359 nt
Filed under: Demospongiae sp. GW9880
Lineage: Eukaryota; Metazoa; Porifera; Demospongiae
Description: partial large subunit ribosomal RNA
Source: RNAcentral
AAGUUGGUGCAGUGAUCACGCAGGUUCAAGCACUGCCAARGGUGYGACAUGGUGACGGAGAUCGUCCCAUGCCGUCAGCUCGAGGGAGUGCCGUACUCCUCGUGAACACGGACCAGCAGCGGUUGGACUGAAGCCAAAAGGCAGCAGCGGAAGGUGAGUUGAUGUGGGCUUGCUCGCRUUGACAGCUUAUASCCCUGCUGCAUGGCGCUUCGGUCCGACCGAGGAAGUUGGGCAGCCCUUGCCCGUUGUGGUAACGCCGAAUGGCGGGGCCUCCCAACACGAGUUAUCCGUGCGGUGUGGACUGCAUGCAGUGCUCGCCGUCACRGUGAUCUCRGGGKGGUGASUGUCACUUGUGUACC